RNAcentral lists this ribosomal RNA (497 nucleotides) under uncultured bacterium. RNAcentral describes it as "partial 16S ribosomal RNA". It matches the Rfam family "Bacterial small subunit ribosomal RNA", at positions 28 to 507 of the family's 1533-position model. The record is from RNAcentral.
GAUGAACGCUGGCGGCGUGCCUAAUACAUGCAAGUCGAGCGAACGGACGAGAAGCUUGCUUCACUGAUGUUAGCGGCGGACGGGUGAGUAACACGUGGAUAACCUACCUAUAAGACUGGGAUAACUUCGGGAAACCGGAGCUAAUACCGGAUAAUAUUUUGAACCGCAUGGUUCAAAAGUGAAAGACGGUCUUGCUGUCACUUAUAGAUGGAUCCGCGCUGCAUUAGCUAGUUGGUAAGGUAACGGCUUACCAAGGCAACGAUGCAUAGCCGACCUGAGAGGGGGAUCGGCCACACUGGAACGGAGACACGGUCCAGACUCCUACGGGAGGCAGCAGUAGGGAAUCUUCCGCAAUGGGCGAAAGCCUGACGGAGCAACGCCGCGUGAUGGAUGAAGGUCUUCGGAUCGUAAAACUCUGUUAUUAGGGAAGAACAUAGGUGGAAGUAACUGUGCACAUCUUGACGGUACCUAAUCAGAAAGCCACGGCUAACUACGUG